GACGAACGCUGGCGGCGUGCUUAACACAUGCAAGUCGAACGGACAGGCCCUGCUUUUGUUGGUUGCUCGUGUGGCGAACGGGUGAGUAACACGUGAGUAACCUGCCCUUUACUUUGGGAUAACUUCAGGAAACUGGGGCUAAUACCGCAUAUGAGCUCCUGCUGCAUGUUGUUGGUUGGAAAGUUUCGGCGUUUCGGGCUGGACUCGCAGCUUAUCCGCUUGUUUGUCUGGUAGUGGCUUACCAAGCCUUUGAAGGGUAGCCUGCCUUAGAGGGUGACCGGGCACAAUGGGACUAAGAGACGGCCCAGAAGGCUACGGGAGGCAGCAGGGGGGAAUAUUGCAGAAUGGGCGGAAGCCAGAUGCAGCAACGCUGCGAGCGGGAUGACGGCCUUCGAGGGGUAAACAGAUGUCGACUGUGACGAAGAGUGAGUGACGGUAAUGGGUAAAAAAGCAACGGCUAACUACGUG
Molecule: ribosomal RNA, 468 nt
Filed under: uncultured bacterium
Lineage: Bacteria
Description: partial 16S ribosomal RNA
Rfam family: Bacterial small subunit ribosomal RNA
Source: RNAcentral